Molecule: ribosomal RNA, 465 nt
Filed under: uncultured bacterium
Lineage: Bacteria
Description: partial 16S ribosomal RNA
Rfam family: Bacterial small subunit ribosomal RNA
Source: RNAcentral
GACGAACGCUGGCGGCGUGCUUAACACAUGCAAGUCGAACGGAAAGGCCCUGCUUGCCGGGUACUCGAGUGGCGAACGGGUGAGUAACACGUGGGUGAUCUGCCCUGCACUUCGGGAUAAGCCUGGGAAACUGGGUCUAAUACCGGAUAGGAGCCAUUUUUAGUGUGAUGGUUGGAAAGUUUUUUCGGUGUAGGAUGAGCUCGCGGCCUAUCAGCUUGUUGGUGGGGUAAUGGCCUACCAAGGCGGCGACGGGUAGCCGGCCUGAGAGGGUGGACGGCCACAUUAGGGCUGAGAUACGGCCCAGACUCCUACGGGAGGAAGCAGUGGGGAAUAUUGCACAAUGGGCGCAAGCCUGAUGCAGCGACGCCGCGUGGGGGAUGACGGCCUUCGGGUUGUAAACUCCUUUCGCUAGGGACGAAGCUUUUUGUGACGGUACCUAGAGAAGAAGCUCCGGCUAACUACGUG